CAUUCUCACGCGUGACUGGGUGACUCCCGGUUUGGGUCUGAGGCUUCUGGCUGUGUCGGAAUUUUCCCGGCCCUCUCCUGAUGAGAGAACCUGUCCGUGUGGGGGUGUGACUGACCACUGACCCUGGGGGCCCAAUCACUGACCCUGACCUUGGAGUGCAGCCCCCCCUCAACCUUCAUUGGAUGGAAUUAUCCCCUGAAUUUCUUGUUCCCCAAUAAAAGGCUACUCCCUGGCGUGUUCACUCUCUCUCUCUCUCCUGCUAGCCCUGAGUAAUCCUUGCUGCCCUGCUGGGCGGUUAGAGGUCCCAGCCAGAGAGGGGAGCCGUCUCGGACCUGGCAAUAGAAAUAAGAAUCUGGUAUGUGAAGAGAGUCACAGAAAUUCCCUUCUUCAAGUUCCAGCCCUGAUGUACAGACCCUGAGAUCCAAGGGGCUGGGUGUAUGGAACCCAACUGCUCAGAUCUUCAGGGAAUCCUGUUGCAAUAUCUCCAUUUAGACCCUCAACAACACCACCCACAGCUAAUAGUCAAAUCCCUGUAAAUGUUUUGAUCUUUAUUUCUCUUCCAGAGAAGAAAGCAAUACCCAAUCUGUUGUUUAAGAAGAUUAAAGGGGGCUGAAGUUUGGCUCAGUGGAAAAGUGUUCUCCUAUCAUGCAUGAGGCACUGGGUUUGAUCCUCAGCACCAUAUAGAAAUAAAAUAAAAAUUUUGUGUCCACCUAAAACUAAAAACAUAUUUUUAAAGGUUAAAAAAAAUCUCUAAAGGCCAUGACACUGCACUGUAACCAUGAUUGGGUGGACCAUGGUUUUCUUAAAUGAAGAUGGUGGACCACAAUGUGCAUAUCCCCAUAAGCCGGAUAAGACCACUAGAUGGCAAGAGUGUGUGUGUUUGUUUAUUUUUUUUUUUCUUUGCUAGUGGUGGGUGCUUUGCAGGUGGAUCUGGCUUCUCUUUGUUGCUCCCAUCAGAGUCCCUGAAGUGUUCCUCACUGAGGCAGAUUUUACUGCAGAUACCAGGAAGUGAUAUGAAGCCAGAGUCUUUGACUACAGGGAGCAAUGGCUAUAGGAUUUUAAUAGAAAUUUUUUUCAGAAUGAUACAGGUCUCCUCCCCAUACACGAGAGGCUGACAAUUUCUCCACAGCCUGAAGUCCUGGUGGUGGCAGAGCUAUGGUCACAGGCCCUAAUAAUACCAAUCUGGAGGAGGAAAGUGGAGACAGGAUAUUUUCUUCUCAUGAAAAGUAUAUUAUGCUUUUAUGAACACCCAGAACAUAUGGCCUGCCUUCUUUGAUGCUUUAAAGUGUUGAUUGAGAAGGUAAAUGAGAAGGUGGGAAGAUAACUCGAAUUUGAAUCUUGAGUCCAAGUCUAGCUCUACUCCAGACUAUUGUGGCCUUUAUCUGCUCCUGUGCCUCUUCUGCAACCCACAUUUUCAUCCAUGGCAGAAGAGACUGUAUGCAACAGGAACAGUGCUUGCACAAUUCCCACAUCCCAGGAGCAGUGCUCCUCCUUCCCUCAAACUUCUGGCAGCCCUUUGUGUUUCCCAGCACUAAGAUGGGAGGGCUUAACAGAAAGCAGGGGCUUGGGUGCCUCCCCAUGACUAAAACCCAGGAGUGCAGGUUACAGACGCAGUUGCCCUGGCCCUUUUGAGAAGCUGUAUAUGUUUGACAUUGUAGUAAGAGUGCCUUGGGUUUGUUUUAAUCAGGUAUGGGAGACUCACAUAAACACAUGGACUGUCACAGAGAUCUACAGUUUUCCAUAAGCAGAAGUGCAGAGCCAUUUGGGAAGCUUCAGGGUUGGUCAAGAGAUGAGCAUGUGGAAGGUGAUGGAGAACAUGGGAAAGAGACUUUCCUGUAUUUGUGCAGGAAGAUGAGACAGCAUAAGUGAAUUUAGUGUUAGUAUGUUAUAAUUUUAGUUAGCUUUAGGGGGCAUGGACCAUCUCUGGUAUUCUGGUACCUGACAUGCUGUGAUUAGAUCAAACAAAAACUGGCCUUGGAUGGUAGGAGAACAAUAGGGAGGAUAGUGGUGGUAUGGAAAUUAUAUUGUUUAAUUUGCACAAGGUGAACAACUUGGGGAUUUGGCUAACUAUUGCUAAGAAUUAGCUCUCUCCAAAAGGUCAUGACUGGGUGCAGUGGUCCGUGCCUGGGUAGUGGUACAUGCCUGUAAACCAAGUGACUCAGGGGACUAAAACUGGUGAACUGCAAGGUCAAGGCCAGCCUGAGCAUUUUAGAAAGACCCUGUCUCACAGUAAAAUUUUAAAAAACACAUAUAGGGAUCUUGUUCAGGUAUAGUAGAACAACUGUACAAUGCUCCUAAGUUAAAUCCCCAGUACCUUCCUCUGCCCCAACAUACACCCACCCACCCACACACACACAAGCAAUCUAAGAAGUCAUUCCCUUCAUGGUCAGCAAAGCACCAUUGUCAAAGAAAGAGAGUCCCAAUAUAAAAAGGCCUUGGUAACACAAAUACUGUUUAUUUCCACAAAAAAAGACAGUGACUCUAGUUGUUUCUAGCAGCCUGCUCUCUGCUCCCUCAGGCAAGGGUCUGUGUUUAUAAUCUUCUAGGUCACAUGCUUCAUGGACCCUAAGCAGCCUUGUGGGUGACUACAGAGCAGCAAGACUCCUUGUUUUAAUGGAGUAUCUUCUGGUGAGGCAUAAAGCUUGGCCAGCAGAGCAGAGAAUUCUGAUGCCAGUCAACAAUCUCUCCUCUGUCCUUUGAUCCUCCAUUUGUCACCAGGUGAUACCUGUCUGGGGUGAGCUCAGGAUGUUUGGGACAAGGACAUACUACUCAGGUAGAGAGAAGAGGACAGUGGCCUGGAUUUGCAUGGCAUUGCAUCUCACUGGAGGUUUAUUCUCUCAGAUGGCACUUUGGAAGGGGAAAGUGAAGCACUGCACAGAACACUCGGGAAUGUGCAGGAUCAGAAGUGAAAGGUUUUCUUUGUAGGUGGCAAGAUUAUGUCCCAGGCCACCACCUCCAGCAUGGGGCUGCAGAUUCUGAUGGCUUGCAUAUUUGUGUGUGUGUAUGUGUGUGUGUGUGUGUGUGUACUUGUGAAUGCAGGUGAAAUGCUCAAUGACCCAAUGUGCAUUCUUGGGAUAGAAGAGGUAGAAAGACUACUUACUCAACGGGGUUCCUGCUUAGGAAGAAUCUUGCCUGUUGUUCAAGCAGGGGCAUCAGUCUCAGCAUUGAUAGACUGACCUGGGACUGGUAAGCUUUGGGAAGGUUGGUAGAACUCUUUGACAGAGGUUUAGUAGCACCACAAUGAGGCCCAAAUUAAUAAUUCUCCUGCUUGCAGGCUUUAGGUUUCUUCUGAUAAUAUGCUGUGUGUCUCCCUCUGCUCCUUCUUUUGUGUCUUCCCUCCCUUCCUCACCUACUGGGAGACAAUAACUGUGCUUAAAGCACUGGAGAGAAAAUAAUAAAUUAGAAAAAUACUAGUUCUUUUUUGUGUGAAAUAUAUGAUCUACCCAGGGUUCCUGAGCCUUAGCAUGGUUAAACUUAGAGACCAAAGACUUGUUUUUGGUAAGGGGCUUGCCCAUCAUGAUGAUGUUUAGUAAUCCUAUUCCCUACCUUGAAAAUCAGAAAUGCCUCUAGAAGGCCCAAUGUCCACUGGGUGUGACCACUGCCAUGGCUGAGAACUCUGAGCAGUGGGGCACGAAGCUUAGUCCACACCUGCAGUGGAGUUUGCAUGGAUGUCUCUGUGUCUACUUGGGGUCUGUUCAGGGUCUGCUACUGCUCACAGAGUUUGGGUUAGUGGGACUUGCAGGGGGUUUAAUGCACACCUAUUGUGAGAGAGUAAUUGACCAGAGGCUAUCAAAUAAAACCACCAUCAACAAAGGCACCAUCUUAAUAUUGUGAGAUUAUCAUGCAGAUAUUUCUGUUACAGCAAAAGUCAGUGGAGGUAUCUGUGCUUUAUAGCACUAUGGUGACCACUCAGUAACU
This is a long non-coding RNA of Marmota monax (woodchuck), 3918 nucleotides long. RefSeq lists it as uncharacterized. Lineage: Eukaryota; Metazoa; Chordata; Mammalia; Rodentia; Sciuridae. The transcript has 3 exons. The record is from RefSeq and is a predicted model, not a curated record.